GUUCUCGCUUCGGCAGCACAUAUACUAAAAUUGGAACAAUACAGAGAAGAUUAGCGUGGCCCCUGCACAAGGAUGACACGCAAAUUCGUAAAGCGUUCCAUAUUUUA
Small nuclear RNA from Callithrix jacchus (white-tufted-ear marmoset), 107 nucleotides. The record is from Ensembl. Lineage: Eukaryota; Metazoa; Chordata; Mammalia; Primates; Cebidae.